GAUGAACGCUGGCGGCGUGCCUAAUACAUGCAAGUCGAGCGAACAGACGAGGAGCUUGCUCCUCUGACGUUAGCGGCGGACGGGUGAGUAACACGUGGAUAACCUCCCUAUAAGACUGGGAUAACUUCGGGAAACCGGAGCAAAUACCGGAUAAUAUAUUGAACCGCAUGGUUCAAUAGUGAAAGACGGUUUUGCUGUCACUUAUAGAUGGAUCCGCGCCGCAUUAGCUAGUUGGUAAGGUAACGGCUUACCAAGGCAACGAUGCGUAGCCGACCUGAGAGGGUGAUCGGCCACACUGGAGCUGAGCCGCGGUCCAGGCUCCUACGGGAGGCAGCAGUAGGGAAUCUUCCGCAAUGGGCGGAAGCCUGACGGAGCGACGCCGCGUGAGUGAUGAAGGUCUUCGGAUCGUAAAACUCUGUUAUUAGUGAAGAACAAAUGUGUAAGUAACUAUGCACGUCUUGACGGUACCUAAUCAGAAAGCCACGGCUAACUACGUG
Molecule: ribosomal RNA, 497 nt
Filed under: uncultured bacterium
Lineage: Bacteria
Description: partial 16S ribosomal RNA
Rfam family: Bacterial small subunit ribosomal RNA
Source: RNAcentral